GCUGCUUGAAAUCAAUUUUAAGCUGAAAUGAAUGAAAUAAGCUGCUCCUCUGCAUGGAUCUGGUGGGUUUACUGGUCUCAUUGUAAGGUACAACUUCCCUGUCUAUUUUUUUUUUUUUCCUGAGGGGAAGGAAGGAAGGGUGGGAGGCAAAAUCUGGCAAGAAAACUGCUGCUGUCAGCCUGAGUGGGGGAUGCUGUUGUCUUUACCACAGAGGGGGGAUCCGAAAAGCAGAAAUGAUAUUACCACUGGGCCAGCCAUCAAGCAAGGACGAUGCUCCCAGCACCAAGGGUUUCUACCAUCAUGACUCUGAAGAUCUUUCUUCCAGCCCAGAACUUCAAGGAUGUAAAAUGAAUGUGACCCUGUCCAAGGCUAUUGUCCCAGGAAGUGGUGAAAUGAUGAGGAUGUCCCAGGUCAGCUGCAGUACAGCACCACAGAGAUAAGGAGUGGUGAUCAAUAGGGUUGGUUUCCUCCUUGCUGGAGGAGGCAGGGAGGUUUGGAGCUGGCUGCCAUGAGUUGUUCGGCUAUUUUGAGUCUUACCCAGGGCUUGCAGCACUGGAGCUGAAUUUUCUCUCCUUGUUGUUGUCGUGAGGUUGAAUUUGAGAGCAAAACAUGUCACAGAAGGAGGCACCUCCCACUCUGGCAGGUCCCAGCACAAUCCAAAUCCCCCACCUUGACGUCUGCUCAUGUCACCAGGAGCUGGAGGCAGCUCCAUCACCAAUCCACCACAACUUCAUUUGAAAUAACAUUAUUUUUCCCCUUGAAAUAUCUCUACUUCUCCAGGGAGGACCUGAAUUUGUUAGAGAAGAGGCAAAAAAAACAAAUCCUGAUCCAGAAUAGAUAAGGACAAAGGUUUCCCUGCACAUCCAAAGCACUCUGAGUUGAGCCCUAGGACAUCCAUAUGAUCUACAAGGCUCAGGCCAAGGUGAGGAUAAUCCAUUACAAAAUCCCAGCAGAAGCUAAUGCUAAACAGUCCCUGUGGCACCCAACCCUGUCAAGGCUUUGCCAAAUGCUGGAGGAACUGACCACCCCAUCCUUUCACACCAGGGCUGAGAUGAGGAGUAAUUCAUGAAGCUUCUCUGUUCUCCCUCCAUAUAAUUUUUUAGUGCUUGCCACACUUGUUUGCUUUCUCCAGUAGUCAGAUGAUGACACAAACCACUAAAUAACAUCCUUAAAAAUGUGCUUGUUUCUCUUUAACUCUCUUUAAACUACACAGAAGAGUUUAAUUAUGACUUAGCUCUAGCAGUUGCUGCUACUGGCUGUGUAUCUUAUAGUAAAUAUGUCAGUGCUUGGUGAGGAACUGAGUGCAUACCCGGCCAGUGGAUGCACGAUCUCUGCUCUGUACCCUCUCCUGCUCUGCACCUCCGAUAUCACAGAGAGAUGUGCAUUAAGAACAUUGAGAUUGCUUAGCACCAUUUAUUCUGCAUAAUUUUUCCCACCAGC
This 1440-nucleotide long non-coding RNA is filed under the name Coturnix japonica (Japanese quail). Its description in RNAcentral is "lncRNA (ENSCJPG00005021023.1)". Lineage: Eukaryota; Metazoa; Chordata; Aves; Galliformes; Phasianidae. The record is from RNAcentral.